This 1465-nucleotide long non-coding RNA is filed under the name Anser brachyrhynchus (Pink-footed goose). Its description in RNAcentral is "lncRNA (ENSABRG00000017109.1)". The record is from RNAcentral. Lineage: Eukaryota; Metazoa; Chordata; Aves; Anseriformes; Anatidae.
AUGACAUCACAGCAUAUCACAUCAAGACACCUUUGUUUCCUCAACACAAACAAUGUAGUAUUUGUAGCAGACAGCACAGGAUUGUGCGCAGCCUUAUGCCUCUUACACAAGCAUAAGAUCUACAUACCUCUGCUGCCACCGUGUUGUCUGUCACACGCACCUGAAGGAACAAAUAUGCUAUAUUUUGGGAUUACAGGGACACAUACGAUUAGAAAGCAGCAAAGUUCCUUUAUUUCGGAUGUGGAGACUAUGUGGACUAGGACCUAAAGCUUCUGCACGUGGGAAGCGCCCAGCUCUGCUGCUAUCCUGCUCCAUGCGGCCCCAGCACAAGCAGCACCGUGCUCUCCACACCAGAAUGCGGUGCCCUGCUGGACACGGUCAUGCCAGUGAGGGGGUCAAAGGAGAGCCUUCUAACUUUCAGCCUUUAUUGAUUCAUGAUCCCGCAGAAAUUUCUCUACCCAUGUGUUAAGUGUUGGUAAGUAAGCUAUCUGGACUAGACCCAAUGAGUUUAAAUUAGCAUUUCCCCACAAUACAAACGCUUACUGCUUUUUAUAUUUUUGCAGCGAGUUAUUUCUGCACACGCUCUGGAUGGAUAGAGAGGACUUGAAAAUGUGGAAAAUAUGUAAUACUCCUCCAAAUACCCUGCAGAUUUUAACAGCCUGCUCAUGAACCAACUCCAUUUUACUGCUGGUGCCCACAAUGGAAAGCAGAGUGCCAGCCCCUGGCAGCCCAAGCCCAACCCCUCACAACAGUGCCACUGUUGAAGCCCAGAGAAUCACUCCACGAGGACCACAGUCAGAAUGAAAGCACCAUCCUUGGACCUCAACACUCGCAGCAAUGCUAUAUAUUGAAAGCAGAACAUAGGUUUUCACUGCACAGACCCCAGGAAGCUUUUCAAAGUCCAUGCAGACCUGGGGAGUAGAUUUUUAGAUCCAUUAAAUGAUAGGCUUAAUUUCUUGGUUCACUUUUCCAACAUCCUUAAAAGUAGGCUAGCCUACAGAGAUCCACGGGCCAUUUGAGGAAAACUGCUCAGCUAGAAGGAAAGAGGAGGUGGAGUGUGGGAACUGCAAAGUAAGGGUCACUGCCAGUUUGUCGCUGAAGCAGCACAAGCCAGCAGGGAUCUGAGAUACCCAGCUCGUACUAAGUUCCUAUUAGGUACCAUUUUACUACUUCAAGAAGCCGUGUGUUAGUUACAUAGCAAAGUCCCACUUGCAGACAGGAUGGUUCCCCUGGCAGUGCUCCAGCAGGGCUCAGCACACCAACACCCCUGCACCCUCUGCAGCAAAGCAGCUUCCAGGGGAGCUUUCUCUUGAAGCUCUUCUGUGAUGCCAUGCACGCGUGAUCUGUUAAUGCUGCUCUCUGCUCUCCUACUCGUAUGUAGUAUACCUUGCAGCUCACUGAAAUAACACCCAAAAUUAUUUUUAUUGUCAAUAAAAAUGCCUUUAACGUUUUUGAAGGGUUCUGU